This 253-nucleotide ribosomal RNA is filed under the name uncultured bacterium. RNAcentral's name for it is "partial 16S ribosomal RNA". It matches the Rfam family "Bacterial small subunit ribosomal RNA", at positions 524 to 776 of the family's 1533-position model. The record is from RNAcentral.
UACGAAGGGUGCAAGCGUUACUCGGAAUUACUGGGCGUAAAGCGUGCGUAGGCGGUUUGUUAAGUCAGAUGUGAAAGCCCCGGGCUCAACCUGGGAAUUGCAUUUGAAACUGGCGAGCUAGAGUGUGGUAGAGGGUGGUGGAAUUCCCGGUGUAGCAGUGAAAUGCGUAGAGAUCGGGAGGAACAUCUGUGGCGAAGGCGGCCACCUGGACCAACACUGACGCUGAGGCACGAAAGCGUGGGGAGCAAACAGG